UACAGAGGUCCCAAGCGUUGUUCGGAUUUACUGGGCGUAAAGGGCGCGUAGGCGGCCUCUGCAAGUCGACUGUGAAAUCUCCGGGCUUAACCCGGAAAGGUCAGCCGAUACUGCAGGGCUAGAGUGCAGGAGGGGCAACUGGAAUUCUCGGUGUAGCGGUGAAAUGCGUAGAUAUCGAGAGGAACACCUGCGGCGAAGGCGGGUUGCUGGGCUGACACUGACGCUGAGGCGCGAAAGCUAGGGGAGCGAACGGG
RNAcentral lists this ribosomal RNA (254 nucleotides) under uncultured bacterium. RNAcentral's name for it is "partial 16S ribosomal RNA". It matches the Rfam family "Bacterial small subunit ribosomal RNA", at positions 524 to 776 of the family's 1533-position model. The record is from RNAcentral.